GACAGAGGUCUCAAGCGUUGUUCGGAUUCAUUGGGCGUAAAGGGUGCGUAGGUGGCGCCGUAAGUCGGGUGUGAAAUUUCGAGGCUUAACCUCGAAACUGCAUUCGAUACUGCGGUGCUUGAGGACUGGAGAGGAGACUGGAAUUCAUGGUGUAGCAGUGAAAUGCGUAGAGAUCAUGAGGAAGACCAGUGGCGAAGGCGGGUCUCUGGACAGUUCCUGACACUGAGGCACGAAGGCCAGGGGAGCAAACGGG
RNAcentral lists this ribosomal RNA (253 nucleotides) under uncultured bacterium. RNAcentral describes it as "partial 16S ribosomal RNA". It matches the Rfam family "Bacterial small subunit ribosomal RNA", at positions 524 to 776 of the family's 1533-position model. The record is from RNAcentral.